Molecule: long non-coding RNA, 310 nt
Organism: Beta vulgaris subsp. vulgaris (sugar beet)
Lineage: Eukaryota; Viridiplantae; Streptophyta; Magnoliopsida; Caryophyllales; Amaranthaceae
Exons: 3
Source: RefSeq, a predicted model, not a curated record
CCUCCAUCGGAAACGGCCCACCUUCGUCACUCCGACGAAAUCCGGCGAACCACCCUGACACCUUCAAACUCGCCGCUGCAUUCUCAAUUUCCGGCGAAGCCCUGCUGUCGCACGUCCUCUGCCGCAAGAUUAAGGAAAAAGGGAUAUUACAAGCCUCCCCCGACUAUCAAAGUUACUAAGCAGGAUUUGAGGUAAUGACGGGGACGACGGAAUGGCGUAGCAGUGAGGAAUAAUUAUUACUUAAAUUAUGCAGACUCUUAUUAUUAUGUAUUCUAAGCUUAAGAACAUUAGUUUAUGAACCUUAAUUAUG